This 551-nucleotide ribosomal RNA is filed under the name uncultured Acaulospora. RNAcentral describes it as "SSU rRNA". It matches the Rfam family "Eukaryotic small subunit ribosomal RNA", at positions 548 to 1098 of the family's 1831-position model. Lineage: Eukaryota; Fungi; Glomeromycota; Glomeromycetes; Diversisporales; Acaulosporaceae. The record is from RNAcentral.
UUGGAGGGCAAGUCUGGUGCCAGCAGCCGCGGUAAUUCCAGCUCCAAUAGCGUAUAUUAAAGUUGUUGCAGUUAAAAAGCUCGUAGUUGAAUUUCGGAAUCUGUCCAUCGGUCGGGCUUCACUGUCCGUACUGGUGUGGUGGGUUCUUACCUUCUGAAUAACCAGCAUGCCAUUCACUUGGUGCGUUGGGGAAGCAGGACUAUUACCUUGAAAAAAUUAGAGUGCUCAAAGCAGGCCAGCGCCUGAAUACAUUAGCAUGGAAUAAUAAAAUAGGACGGCAUGGUUCUAUUUUGUUGGUUUCUAGGAUCACCGUAAUGAUUAAUAGGGAUAGUUGGGGGCAUUAGUAUUCAAUUGUCAGAGGUGAAAUUCUUGGAUUUAUUGAAGACUAACUUCUGCGAAAGCAUUUGCCAAGGAUGUUUUCAUUAAUCAAGAACGAAAGUUAGGGGAUCGAAGACGAUCAGAUACCGUCGUAGUCUUAACCAUAAACUAUGCCGACUAGGGAUCGGACGAUGUUAAUUUUUUAAUGACUCAUUCGGCGCCUUACGGGAAAC